UACGGAAGGCAGCAGUGGGGAAUAUUGCACAAUGGGCGCAAGCCUGAUGCAGCCAUGCCGCGUGUAUGAAGAAGGCCUUCGGGUUGUAAAGUACUUUCAGUCGUGAGGAAGGUGUUAAGGUUAAUAACCUUAGCAAUUGACGUUAGCGACAGAAGAAGCACCGGCUAACUCCGUGCCAGCAGCCGCGGUAAUACGGAGGGUGCGAGCGUUAAUCGGAAUUACUGGGCGUAAAGGGCACGCAGGCGGUUAAUUAAGUUGGAUGUGAAAUCCCCGGGCUUAACCUGGGAAUGGCAUUCAAGACUGGUUAGCUAGAGUCUUGUAGAGGGGGUAGAAUUCCAUGUGUAGCGGUGAAAUGCGUAGAGAUGUGGAGGAAUCCGGUGGCGAAGGCGGCCCCUGGACAAAGGCUGACGCUCAUGUGCGAAAGCGUGGGGAGCGAAACAGGGAUUAGAUA
Molecule: ribosomal RNA, 451 nt
Filed under: uncultured bacterium
Lineage: Bacteria
Description: bacterial SSU rRNA
Rfam family: Bacterial small subunit ribosomal RNA
Source: RNAcentral